Molecule: long non-coding RNA, 14440 nt
Filed under: Nicotiana tabacum (common tobacco)
Lineage: Eukaryota; Viridiplantae; Streptophyta; Magnoliopsida; Solanales; Solanaceae
Description: long non-coding RNA (NTAB_LNC008792)
Source: RNAcentral
UUUUUUUUUUUUUGCUUUGGAAACCCCUGAAUAGGACGUUUGUCGAUUUUCAGAUUUGGAACAUUGCACUUAUGCCCCAAAAAGCAAUAACCAGAUUAGCAUAAAAAAAGGUUUAGGGCUUUUUGUGAUAUACUUUAGCAAUAACCACUUCUCUCAAACAGCAACAAUAACUACUGCUAUGCCUCAAUAUCAAGCUUGUAGGAACCGAUUCAUGAAUCCUCUAUAUCCAUUCUGCUUUAUAUGGGCUUAUAUACCUGACCUGUUUAUCGUUGAGGCUUCAAGUGUUUAUGUUGGAAUCAGUUUCCUUCCUGAUUGAUGUUUUCCUGUCUCAGGUUGAUUUAUUUCUUUUUUUUAGGACCAGAUAGCAUCUAAAGAAAAAUAUUUCUACAAUUGCACUUUGCAGUAAUUUAGUUGUAUACUUGUAUUUACUGAAGGGCCUCUGUGGUUUGGAUUUGGUACCCGUUUUAAUAAGUUUAGCUGAUUAAAUUGGGUUCCUUAUUCACAAUAAACUUUGGCUGAUGAAGAUGAAGUCCUACUUUUAGAGCUGCUAACUCUCACUUCAAUAAAACUGAAUAUCUGAUCCUCUAAUAUCAACAUUUAGAGUAAUGAUGUAUAAUUAUCAUAAACCUGACCAAAUGGUAAGGCUAUUUUCCUGCGUUAGUAUAAUUAUGGUUGUUUUUGUUUUACUUUAUGUUUUCUGUAUUAUAUAUCUUGUUUAACUUUUAAUGGUCGGUUGCUUUUGUGAUUGCAGUAUGUGCUAGAGGAGCUAAACAUUAAGUCUUUGGUCCCAUGCAAUGACACGUUGAAGUAUGCUUCUUUGCGUGCAGAGCCAGAUUUCAGGUGAUCUAGAUGUCAUGUGCCAAGUUUGUCUUCAUUUGUUGUUCUCUGAAUUAAUCUCAUUAACUGGUCCUUGCCUCAGUGUGUUAGGAAAAAGGCUGGGAAAGUCGAUGGGAGUUGUUUCCAAGGAAGUUAAGGCCAUGUCAACAGAAGAUAUUAUUGCUUUUGAGAAAGCAGGAGAAAUUACUGUCGCUUCGCACACUUUGAAGCUUAGUGAUAUCAAGGUGAAUAUGAUUUUUGAUAGUCUUUACUCGGUUCUUUCAAAUUCCUCAUAUUUGUCAGUCGCCACCCGAGAAAGAGUAAAUCAAGUCUGCUCUGGGUUUUCUUUUGUUGGGUAUACCGAAACUGGGGACAAAGGUAGAUUAGGUCAAUUGCCUGUCAGGACCAGAAAUGGAGGAAAAAGUGGCAACUGAAGAAGCAAAUGUUCCUUUAAAAUUUUUGCUGGCCCAAGUUAGUUUCAUGGAUAGGUUAAUAUGUAUUCUGUACGUCGGAUCAGUAGCUUCAGGUAGGUAUAUUGAGUCUUGAGAAAUGUUUUCUUUAUGAUCUGGUUCUUUUAAUUGUGUUGAUUGAAGUAUUUGCCCUACUGAGACACAAGCUUAAUUGAAAUACUUUUGUGGUAAAGUUGAAUAAAAUUGCUGCAAAAGAUUAAGCAUGAAAUUGGUCCUAGCUAUAUAGUUUUGAAGUACCUGGUGAAAUUGUUUCCUGCACACGUCCUUAUGCUAUGGGUUUGAAACCAUUAGAGAUUAAUGAUGAAGUAAGAGUAUCAUAGGAAGUGCUUUACUUUGGUUCAUGUGAAGACCUUUGUUUGUUCAAGGAGACGUCUUGAAUACGGGCUGUUUUUGCUGUCCAUAAUGGUUGUUGAAAAAAAAGAUGAAAGCUGUAAGUCAAAAUAUCUUUAGGAUAGAGGUGUUAUAUUUCAAAGUUGAUCUAGUUCUAUUUCUAAGGAAGAGGAUUAAAGAACCGACUCCUAAAUAAUCUAGACUCCUAAUUCUUGUCAUUGAAUAAAGUAGUAAAACUUUGAAAUAAAAUAUCUAUAGAAAGUACCUAAUAGGUAUGAAUUUGGAUGCUACAACAGACAAGUGCAAUAUUAAUUUGAAGCAGGAGUUUAGGUUUUGAAAAAGUUCGAUUUUAUUUUGCUCAUCUUUAUAUUCAAAAUUCUCGGGAAAGGGUUUCAUUGCUUGUUGUGCACCUCUUGUAUUAUUAUUUGCAUACGAUCUUUAAUGUACUUGUAGAUUGUUCGGGGUUUCAAACGUCCUGAUAAUAGGAAAGAGAAUGAAAUGGAUGCGGCAGGGGAUGGUAAGCAUCUCCUCCUUCACGACUUUAGAUAUUUAUGUUACAUCUGAUUUCUUAUAGUUUUAUUCAUUCGUCGCACAUACAGGUGAUGUUUUAGUGAUACUGGAUUUGCGUACUGAUGAUUCACUGUUUGAGGCUGGAGUUGCUCGGGAGGUAUUCUCGGAAGUCAUUCCCGAUGCGAUUAAUGGCAGAUAUUAUCGAGUUUUUACUUGUCUUUUGAUUGGUUACAGCUGUGUUGGGAGAUUCCUAAUGAGUGGCUUUGAUGCCGAACUCUGCUUGCAGGUUGUGAAUAGGAUACAGAAACUGAGAAAGAAAGCCGCGCUUGAACCCACUGACUUGGUAGAGGUCUUCUUCAAGUCUUUGGAUGAGGAUAAAACAGUCUCUCAGCAGAUUUUGGAGUCCCAGGUAACUUUUCAGGUCCACAGUAUUACUUGAUGUUUCCUAUUCUUUAGGUACCUGGCUCUGUGAAAUCUGUCCUUGGUAGAGAAGAUCUAGAGUCUGAAGAGACUGAAGAAAGAGAACUAAUCUGUUUUUGAAGUUGAAAGGGCUAUUUAACGGAGAGUGAAGAUCCAGGGGGGUGGCAAUCAUUAAAUGUUGGAGCCCAGAGGGUCUUUUUCACUUCUGCCAAAAAAUAAAAUUUUCAUGUACCUCGAUGUUCUUCAGGAAGCAGUUUCUGUUGACUUUAAGAUCUGAUUAUGAAGUCCUGGGUUUCCCGUCUUAUAUAUUAGGCUUAGUCAGCCAUAUUUUAUAUAUUUCUUUAUUGAUUCUCUUGCACAAAUUUCUGAUCUACCUUUACUGAGUAGCUCAGUGUACCAUCAGUCUUUAGAGGCUGGUGCAUGCUUAUUUCUAUUGCCAAAACCUAACUGUUUGUCUCUUCCUUUCUCCACCUUUCUUUUUGGCGUUGCAGGAAUCAUAUAUUAGAGAAGCCCUUGGAUCUCCUUUGCUUCCUGCUGACCCGAUCCCUUCACAUGCAGUGAGUUCUGACUCCUCUUCCUCAUUUAGGACCUUGUGAGCUCUAUCCGAGUGCACCAUUUUUAUGUGUAUUAAUAUUUAGAGCUGGUUUCUUACUUGCAUCCAUCUCUUACAAUUAGAAUGAAAAUUUGUCGCUUAUGAAAUAUUACUGUAGUUUCUUGUACACCGGUUAACAAGUUUGGUAAGUUGCAGAUGACAAUUGGUGAAGAGAGUUUCCAUGGAAUAUCAAGCUUGUCCUUUGUGAUUACGUUAGCAAGACCCAGUCUAGUUUUUGAUUCAGAUGCCAUCACUGCUUUAUAUGGAGGUUGAAUUUGAGAUUCUUGUUGCGGAAAUUUUGGUGAUUUUGAGGUGUUUUUCUGUUUCUAAACUAUCUUCAUCUUGCAGGAAACACACAGUUUUCUCAAGGCUUAAAAACUUACCUGCUGAUGAGGGAUCACCAUAACUUGAAGUCGGAGUUUCAACAAGGAAAGGGCAAGGUGUGUACCGCAAAAACUUCAUAAUGCUAAAUUAUGUGACCAUCUCAUCUAAAAACUUGGAUGGUCACAAGAUUCAACUUGGUAUCCGAGCAUACUUUUAAUCACUUGAUUAUAUUAUGUCUCAAUACGCCUCCUUAUGUAUGAGCCCAAGUCUUAUUUAAUGGGAAGAACACUUUUUUUUUUGUGUGGUGGUGGUGGGAUUUGAAACCCAUGACAUCUUGCCUACGUUGAUACUAUGUUGAAUUGUGAAGCUUUUAGACGAGAUGGUCACACAAUUCAACACAUAAGUCAACUAGAGUUCCUGCAUUUUACGUAGCUAAUACUAUGAUUCUUGCCCCCCCCCCCCCCCCCCUUUGAGGAAGGUAACAUUGAUUUUUGACCCCACUUAUUGUGACCUUGCAGAUAACAGUAAAGUGCAUUGAGAAUCAGCCUCCAGUUGAGGUGGUUCUGGGAAAGCAUGUCUUCUUGAGUGUUGGAGAUUAUUUCUUGAACAGGAAAUUACAGUAACGGAGACUAAUACUCGGCCAAUAUAAUUUUUGACAUGAGAAAUCUAAAAGUUACAAGUCUUCCCAACUUUUUUUAAAAUUAUUGUGCAUUUGCCUCGUCUCUGCACACACUUCUAUUGCGACAGAUCUGUAUUGUAAUUGCCUUCUGGGCCAUUUUAACAACUAGUGUUACGUGAAUAACAAUUUUGAUUUUCUUCUGGUUGGUGUUAACUAUUAUGUACAAUUUUUUCAUGCUCAAAACUUAGUUGAACUAAUUUUCUACUAGAGGCAUGUUCGAUAUGCUUCAUAUGAAGUAAAACAUUCUAUCAGGGUAUGUUUGUUAGCAAAUUCUUUCGUAUUUACCCUUUUCAUUAACGGAGCUCUACUAGCGAAAAAAACGAACUUCAUGUGGCCAGAAAAAUGGUACCAACUAUCUAGGAACCAGAAAAAUAGAUGGAAGAAAGGCAAUAGCGAUAGCAACAAUCAUAACAAUGACAAGAAACUAGAUAAUCGAAGUGGAAGAUAGUAAGAAAAUAGCCAUUAUACUAGCAAUCUAAAAACAACGACAAAAUACUAACAUGCAACAAUAAAUUAGGCCAAAACUAAGGAAAACAUAUUAACAUAUGAAAAUAUAUAUGUCUAAUGUAUUGAUAAUUAUUAUUAUGAUGUUUUAUUCUCACCACUUUAAAGCCAAGCACAAUACUUCACUUAACAAAUGUAGAAAACAAAAUCAAUAGAAAAUAAGACAAUAGACAGUACAAAUAAAGUUAUCCUACUAAUGAUCCUACUUAACAUAAUAGAGUCUUUAACCCACAACUGCUUCAUCUAAAGGCCCAAAAAGCAGAUUGAUAAUCCAACAACUAAAAGGUAAGAAAGCCCAUUUAAAUUUGUUGAAGCAGAAGGCAAUGUCGGCCCAGCUGCUACAGCCAUUGAUCCAAUAUUUUGGGCCACGUUUUGCUCUUUGGGCUGGAUUUUCACAGGUAUUUUCAGCCCAUUUUUGCAGCUCUCUGUGUUCCCACUAGCGAAGUACCUGAUUCCUUCUCCUUCGAGCGAGAUCUUAUCUAAGCCGUCCGUGUACAUCUUGAUCGGAUUUGUGACAUCACACGAUGCAAAUUCUUCCUCGUUUCUCAGCUCCACUACACUCUCUUGAGCUGCCGAGUAGGUGAACCCUGCUCAUGUAAUAUGUAAAUGAUAUAAUAAUCUACUUUUUAAGAAACUAUUUUCGGCAAGAUAACCAAUUCAUUUUGAAAUAUACUUGGGAGAAAUGAGUAAACAAAAUGGAAAGAUCGGAACCGAUAGGGACUACUGUUGUGCUUUCUAAAAUUGCAUACCUAUAUCAAGGGUUCAAAUUUCUAUCGAUAUUUGCAGAGUUGAUUAUCCCUCUCGUAAACAAGGAUUUGAAGUGGUUUAUAAUUUACGGAAUAUUCAAUAUAACUCACACAUUUUGUCACCAUCAAAGAUUGUGUUAAGAUGGAUAAGAUCCCUCCAUAAUUAUCCAAAAAUAACGUAUAAUGCGACACCAAAGUAGUGAUGGGUUGAGACCAUUCGCUACUAUAGUUAAAAUAAAGGGGUAAAUUUUUUUGCAAUCAAUUCUUUAUUUUUGAUAAUUGUGGUGUUCGAGCCAACUUAUGCAAUGACGAAGUUAGAAUUUUUAUUAAGGGGAGUCAAAAUAUAAAGAAAUAAACUCACCAAGAAGUCAAGGGGUGUCAUUAUAUAAUAUAUAUACAUAUUUUAAAAAAAUUACCGAGCUAAACAAUGUAAUUUUCCGACGAAGCGACACCCCUUGGGUGCAUAUGGCUCCGCCACUAAAUUUACGCGCACCUCAACUAAUUCCAAGAGAUUUUUCCGCAGUUAAUAUUUACGCCAAACUAUCCCAAAAAUAGGCUCAAAACUUUAUUCACUCUCUAACUUUAGUCAUAGUUCAAAUGGUACAAUAAAAGACUAUACUGUAUCCUUUAAUACUGAAUUCUCUGCCUAACCUAUGAGUAUGAGACAUAUCUCAAGGAAAAGAGAGAAAUAUUGUCAUUCAAAAUAUUCAAAAUAUUAAAUGAUUCUUUAAUACUGGAUUCAUUUCAUUUAUACAAUGACUGCCAAACUAAUAUUUAAUCAAUUUGAAUGAAUUUUAGAAAUAUUAUACUGUCAAUUGACAGUAGUCGAAAUACAAGAUCCUAUUUUCGACUUCUAUAGUAGCAUUUUGGUGCUUAUCUUACUGAUAUUGUAUACUUCUUUCUGAAAAAAAAUGAUAAAUAUUAUAGAAAUGGUAACAGAAAAAAAAAACUACUCGGAUAGCAAGAUAAAUAAGAAUCUCAAAAUCGAAUUACUAAUAAAUCUUCAUAAAGAUAGAAAAAAGCAUAGAAAAAGAAAUGCAUGGUUGGUUACAUUUUAAUCCUUGGAAGUCAUAUACUUUAUAUUUUUAAUAGUAAUAAUUAAAUAAUGUGGGGGCCAAUUUUCCUGAUUUCUAUUUUUACUUUAUUUUGGGACUUCGUGUAGUAACUUAUCUUGGUCCUUUUUUUUCAGAAUAGUACAGACCACACCCCGAAAAUCUAAACACAAUUGAAAACAUGUUUUUUUAAUACUCAAAUGCUCAACCAAUGAAAAAAGAUUUUCUUUUUUAAAUACUUACAAGUUCAAAGUACAAGAAGGAAUUCACUUUAUUUUUCACGUGAUUUUAAACAUUUAUUUUUUGAAUAAAAUUUCACAUUUAAAAGUUGUAGAUAUUCUUUCGGGCGGAGGGUCUAUUAGACACACAAACUCCCUGCCUUAUGGAUAAGAUUAACGUACAUACUAUUCUUCACAGACCCAACUUGUUAGAUUUCAUUAGUAUAUUAUUGUGUUGUUGUUAUAGCAUUUAAAAUUUAUACAUAAAAAGUGGAGUAUUAUAUUUCUUUUAAUUCAAAAUAUUUGAAAUAUAUUGCUUUUAAACACCUUAUAAUCUCUUUUGAAAAAACCAAAACCACAUUUCAUCAUCCAAACUAGAUAUGGAAAUACCUUACAUCUAGAUAAAUAAAUUGAAACCAAACAGGCCAAAUAAUGCAUUUUUUAGCAUUCGUAAAAAUAAUUAAUUAUCAGAUAAUUUAAAUAUUAUAGAAAUGACGAAACUGAUAUUUUUCUCUUCUUUCUCUUAUCCUUAGCUAAUAAAUUUCCAUAAGUCACAACACAACAGGAAAAUAUGAACUAAAGAUUUAGUUUAUGAAUAUUAACUGUAUUAGAAAAAUUAUUACAUUAUUAAUGUAACAACAAUGACUACGUAUGUCUCCAUUAAUAUUGCACUUUAAUAUAUUAAAAUUUAAUUUGUUGUGGAAAUUAAUCUGUCUUUAUUUUCUAGAUUUUAGUCGCUUUUUAUUUAUUUAUAGAUAAUUACAUAUAUUUAUCUUUAAGUAAUAUGAUGGUGUAUUUUAACUAUACGUAGGGAUUUAGAGGAAAAAGGAGAAGAAGCUCACAGAUUUUGUCACCAACUCUGAAAACUCUACCAGAGGACCAAGAAGCAACAUCAGAAGAUGGGUCCCACCCUCUAUCCUCUCCGACCACAUGGUGCACUUGAUCAUCAGCUCCGGCCACCAUCGCCGCCGUGAAAAGAAUCGCCGCCACCGCCACAACCAGUAGCUUCUUUGCACCCAUUUCCGCUAGUAGUAAUAAAUAGUACUAAGCUUGAGAGCAAAGCAAAGGUAAAGCUAUAAGCUUUAAUUUAUCAAAGAGAGAGAAAUAAAGAAAUGUUAUUUUUGAGUUAGGAGAAGUGUGGGGCUUUGGGAAUAUAACUUUGUGUCUAAGGGAGUUCCCUCCAAGGUGGAUGGGUGGGCCAUUUAAAUAGUCCGAAUUUAGGAUUCAAACUUAAUACGUUCAAUUUUAUAUAUUUGUAGUGCUCAAUUUGAAAAGAAUCUGAUUUAUGAUUUAAAUUUGAUAAGUUUAAACUAUAAUAUUUAGUUUUGAACUUAUUAUACUUUUGAAAAUAGAAGUUUAAAAGUCAAUUUUUUUGGUUAAAUUUAGUAACCAUCAAGGAAUGCGAUGGAUAACUAAAAUUUCUCCAUCUUUAACAUAGUUUUUGGAUUAGAGUCCUUCGAACAACUUCUUGGUAGAGAGCGUCUCCCUUUCUAAUUGGCCCUACGAUUUGAAUUCGGACUAGUUAAGCCAUAUAUAUAUAUAUAUAUAUAUAUCUCGAAAUUACUGUUUCACCUAGAGGUCGUUUGGUUGGGAAACAAGUUAUUCCAUAAUUAACUAUCUCGGGAUUAGUUAUCUUCAGGGGCGGAGCUACAGUAGUGGGUGCGGGCUCAGGCGAACCCAGUGACUUUUUCCGGAACCUUAUAUUUGUAUUGAAAUAUUUACUAAAUCUAUAUAAAUAUAUACUGCCGAACCCAGUAGCAAAAGGGGUCUUGGUUCGACGGUAAGGGUUGUGGGUUCGUUGGAAAAGAUGAGGGUUUGAUUCCCGCUGAAAGCAGUGUUUCUGUUUUAAAUUUAAAAAUACUACAAUCCCGGGAUAACUAAUCCUACCACGAUUUUAUCCCAAUCAAAUAUAGGAUAAACUCAUCUCAAAUUUAAUCUCGAGAUUAAUUAACCUUUAUCCCUCGUACUAAACGAGUCCUUAAAAUUAUUAUUCAAAAUAUUCAUCAGCCUCUAUAGGUGGCGGGUAAGUGAGGGUUUCGAGGUAGUUUCCUCAGAAAUAGAACAUGCUACAAAUAGAGGUGCAAGUAAGUGACUGGUUGGUAAGAGAGAUACCUUUCAAUUAUUUUCAUUUUUUUGGCUGUAUUUUUAUUAGUUUGCCACAUGCACUUUUGUUACUGCUUUUGUUUUUUUUAUCUAACUACCCACCAUUGGUAAAGAUUGUUACAACUCAAUUGCUUUGUCAUACCCCCCGUUUUUGUCAUUAGCUUUUAGUGGUGGUAAAGCUACCACAAUAUCAAGAAUUUGACUUAAUCAGUUGAGUUCUUUUUUACUUUUCGGUAUCUACAUAAAAGAAAAAAAUCAAGUGCAAUUUACACUUUAGAAUUCUUAUUUGCUUGUAGGAGUUUGGACAAUAUACUUCAACAAUUAGUAUUUGUAAAUUGAAGCUGUGUUUAGAUAGGAAUUUCACUUAAAACUAAAAGCUGAGGAUUUGUUAGUGAAAACUGUUAUUUCGCUUAAAAUAUUCCUCAAAUAAAUUCAUAAUAUUUUUAAAAAUCAUAAUUUUGAGUUUCUACACUACCUCUAAUCAAGACUUAGGUCCUUCAUAACUGCGUCGUAAUGGAUCAACUUAGGUUGAAAUACUGUUUCUGUGACUUCCUGACCAAAUUCACCUACAAGUAAAUGGUUGAUCAAAAUUCACCACCAUAAACAAGAAGUUUUGAUUCGAGCAGGAUAUAAUAUCACUCACUUAACAUUCAACUAGUCGUAAAUAAAUGAGAUUUAAAGAUUUCAUAUACAGUUGCAUAAUUAAUUUUGAAGUUGUACGUUCGAUGCUCGUUGUUUGCUACCCAAACUGCCACCAUUACAAGAUAACUAUAGGCCAAUUUGUCAAUAAAGCUAUUCAUUCUUUUUACGUGAAAAUGAGUGAUGUACAUUCGAACGGUGUGUAAGGUGUAGUAUUUGUAGUUUAAGCAAAGAAGAAGAGAGAAGAAAUUCGGAAUGUCAGGUGGUGCUGGUGCGGGGCGAGUUUUGUUUGAAUCCGUGCAAUUUAAACCUGUCCCGCCUCGCAUAAGAUUUAAACCCGCAUUCAUCCAUCCCGCACUCCACCCGCGUUCACCCGCCCCGCAAAUUUUUUAUUAUAAUUUUUUUUUCUUUUUUAGAAAACUAGACUUAAAUCUGAUUUUUUUAACAAAACAAUUAAUUAUAUCCAAAUUGUUCUUAAAUUCUCAUCUUUUGCCUCUAAAUCCAGUGGUUUUCCUACACAACAAUUUGCAUUACAGAAGGGGUUUUAUUGAGUCCCACAAUUUUUAUAUUCAAAACCCCUUUCUUUCCUUACUGCCACUAGAAGUAAAAUGCACAUGCUCUUAUUCUACUUUGUACAUGUCCCAGAAAAUGACUCAUCGUUGAUUUUACUUUUCCAAAUAAGGCUAAAGGAUCCUAACAUUAAAAAAUUAACAGUAGAAACAAACUUAGUAGUAACAAGCUUAGUAGUAAUAGGCCAAUCACAACAUUAUAUUUUUGAAACAAGCUUAGUAGUAAUAAAGACACCUCAGUUAGUUAACUACUGGAGUAGUAAUCCUACAUACAAACAAUUAGAUCCCCACCGGAGCUCUGUCCCGCCACGCGUUAUUAUUUUUAUUUAAAAUUUGAACCCGCCCCACACGCGCACCGUCUCAUUGCCAUCCUUAAAAGAAAUUGCAGGUGAAAUUAAGUGUUGAGCCAAAGUGUAGGAUUUGUUACAUAUUGGUUAGGGGAAAGAGUAGUUAUUGUUUCUUAUUAUAUAAUUUUGAUAAUUAUACUUACCUCAUGAGUUAGGCGCAAUGUUACUAUAUGAUGCUUAUUAGAGUCAUACUCAUGCUUAUUUUUGGUUUAUCCUGUUUAAGACACCAUAUUAUAUUAUUUACGCUUCAAAUGUUUAAUUUUAAAUGCGUAGAGGUAGAAUGUUAAAAUCUCGAUCUACAUUGCCUGAGGAAAUAAGUAGUCUCCUUAUAUAGUCUUCAGUAGUUCUCAUCUUUUAAACUAGCUUUUAGGAUUGUAUUUGACAAAUAUAUUUUUUUAAUAUGAUAAUCACUGAUAGAAAAUCGUGGAAUUCUGACCGAAAUUUUCGACGGAAAAAAAUUGUCGGAAAUUUCCGACCAAAUCUGUCAGGAUUUUAAAAAAAUAUUUAUAUUUUUUAAAAUCAUUUCGACCAGACCAAAUCAGUCGUAAUGUUUAGCGCAAAAGUCCGAAAAGUUAUUUCCGACCGAAUCCGUCGAUAUUAUAUUUUUAAAAUUUGACUGUUUGACUUGUUUGAUUUUAGUAGCGACCAAAUCGAUCGGUAAAUUUUUUUUAAAAAAAAUUUAAUUAUAUUUCGACCGAAUCGGUCGAAAAUCUAUUUUUAAACCCGACCCUCGUUCCCAAAAAAUAGAAGCUCAUUUUUCUUUCUUCCUCCUCUCAUCCUCCUCAUCUCUCCCUCUCGUCCUUCUUCACCAUCCUCCUACUUCUAGGUAAUUUCUCUCUCUCUCUCUCUCUCUCUCUCUCUCUCUCUCUCGUUUUCUCCUCCCUUCUCCCUCUCCCUCUCCCUCCUCCUCCCUUUUCCCCAUAAUUUUUUUUUGAACUUAUUUUUUUUGUUUUGCAGUAGUGGCGCCGAAGCGGCAGCUCCACCAUCUUUCUUCUCCGGCAUUCUUUCCGGCGAGGUAAGUAGUUUGUUGACAUAUAUUUUAUUUUUAUUGUUAAAUUUAUAGUAAUAUUAUUUGUUGUAGGCUUAUUGAAUUUUCUUUAUAUGAACAUCCUAACUAGUUGAAUUAGGUAUGGUUAAAUUUUUAGAGAUUUUAAUUUUUGUAGGUUUAUUUGAUAUAUGUAUGGUUGAAUUGGCAUUAUGUAAAAUUUAAUUGUAUAUUUCUCUUUGUAUGCUAUAAGUUUAUAGGGUUCCCUAUAAGAAAAAUAUAACACCAUUACUUUGAAUUUAUCUAUGGAAUGAUAUAUUAACUUUAUAAUUUAUUGAUUUUAAUUGUAUUAACUAGUUAUAGUUUAAAACUUUUGUGUAAAGCUUGUUGUACUAGGUUCAUUGUUGCUUGUUAGUUUUACUAUUAGAAUGAUAUUAAAUUUACUUUUUUUCAAUUUCAACAUUAAAAUUAAUUUGUAGAUUUGAGAAAUUAUUAGUUUGGAUUAUAUGAAUAUUUAAGAAGCUAUUCAAAUUUAAUUAUUAUAGUUAAAGACUUACAUAAUUUAGAAUAGGUAUUAAUAUGAGAUUUUGAGUGUUAAAAUAUAUUAAUUUAAAAAAUAAAAUAUAUCAAUUAAAGUGCUUUGACACAAUGAUAUGUAUAUAUCUAAAAGCAACCUUUGAAAGAGUAUAACUUUGUAAUCAAUUUAAAUAAAUCAAAUUAUUUUAAAUAUCUUAUUUCUAGAUUUUUAUUUGUGUAGAUGAAAUUUGUGCAUCGUAGAUGGAUGUAUAAUAGGAAUCAUCCUCAUCGUGCAGGCUUGAGGGAUGAUUUAUUGAAAGAGUUGCUGAAUUCAUUGCUAAGGCUCAAACACUUGAUGAUUUUCUUAUUGGAGGAAGGAUAAUGUAAGUGUGUUAAGUUAUUGAAAACAAACGAAGUUCAAGUUCAUCUCUACAAGAGAGGGUUUGUAGAAAAUUAUUAUAUAUGGACUGUUCACGGGGAGAAUCAUGCUAGUUUAGAUGAUGUUAACUUUCAUAAUUCUUUUGAUGGUGAGGGUAGCCCCAUAGCAGAGCAUAAUGUUAAAAUUUUUUGAUAUAAUGAAAUGAUGAGGGAUGCUUUUGGGAUAUUUCUUGGGGCUCAAUCCGAACCAAAUGAUGAGACUAAGCGUUUCUAUGAACAGUUAGAGGAAGCUAGUCAUCCAUUGUAUGAAGUCUCGAUGCAUUCCAAGUUGUCUGUUGCAGUUAGAUUGCUAAGUAUUAAAUCGAAUAGUUCUAUUUUUCAAGCGGGCAUAGAUUCUAUUAUUGUGCUUAUGAAUGAACUUAAUACGAGUAACAUUGACUUACCAAAAGAUUUCUACAUUGCUAAGAAAUUGGUUUCUAAGUUGGGCCUUUCAUCAGAGAGAAUUGAUUGUUGUGAGAAAGGUUGCAUGUUAUUCUAUAAGGAUGACGCAUCUUUAGAGAAUUGUAAAUUUUUUAAUUAUCCUCGUUUUAAGGAAGUCACAAAAGCCAAUACAAAAAAGAAGGUUCCAGUUAAAGCAAUGCAUUAUUUAUUACUUAUACCUAGGUUAAAGAGGUUGUAUGCAUCAAUGAGCCCUGCUCCUUAUAUGAGAUGACACUAUGAACAUAGAAGGCCCACAUGUUAUUCUAUGUCAUCCGUCAUAUGGAGAAGCGUGAAAGCAUUUUGAUAGGUGUCACACCUCCUUUUUUCCGCAGGAUGAUAUUAGGGGAAUAAGGGAGUUUUUCCAAUUUAAGUGAUAUUAAUCGAAAUGGGAUUAUUUAUUUAUUCAGAGUCGCCACUUGGAAUAAGUUAUGGUGUCCCAAGUCACCGGUUUAUUUUAAAUCCCAAAUCGAGGAAAUUUGACUCUAAUUUUUGGUUUGCGAACACAGAAGACCGGGUAAGAAAUUUUGUUAACCCGGAAGAAGGUAUGAGGCACUCCCGAAUUAUGUGGUUUUAGCACGGUCGCUUAACUAGUAAUAAUUGGCCUAAUUAUCUGAUUUAUACAUAUUUGAAACCUAUGCAUUUUUAUCUUUUAACCACUUUUAAUAUUUAUGGAAUUUUAUUUGAACAAGUCGCGAUGUCGCGCGCUCGUUUGUUUUUGUACACAUUGCGAAUCGCGCCACGUGAAACGUACCCGCAAUUUACAACAUGUAAAUUUUUAUUAUUAUUGUUUGAAUUUAAGGUCGAGUCACGUGAAACGCACACUCAAAUUGGGAUUAUGUAUCAUGACUAUGCCACGAGACCGUACCCAUAGUCACGAUGAUUUAUUAAUCGCGUCUAAAGCAAAUUACGAUGUUUAUGAAUUAUUCUCUAAAUUUGAGAUUGUUGUGAGGCUCAGGAGUUAUGGAAUGAAUUCGUGGAGAACGGUAUAAAUGGGCCAGCAAAAUGCGCUUACUAGGAUUGGGCUACCUAUAGCUAUUAUCAAUUGGGCCUGACAUGGUUCAACUUAAUUGAGCACCAAAUCUAUAAAAUUUAAUUGAGAAAAAAAAUCAGGACCAAAUCCCAUUCACAUCUUCAUUUUGUACAUUGCUCAAAUCUGAUUCCCACAUCAUUAGCAAACAACAUUAAACUUCUGUGCAUGAUGCAAAUCUCAGCGUUAAACAACAUCCAUCUUAAGCACACAAUUAUUCAUCCAAAUGAAGUAAUGCACUUCUUAUCAACAUAAAUACAACCUAAGUUGGAUUGCCGAAACAGAAAAGUUUAUAGCUUUUAGACGUUAAAGCAGCAGCAAAGAUGCGAAAAAUAAAUUAUGAGCCCCGUGAAAAAAAAAUUAAAAAAAAUCCACAUACUAUCACUAAAUAUGAAACAGUGUUCCAACUUCAUUCAAGCAUUAGAUAAGAGCAUACUAAAGAGAUAGAGCAUGAAAUAAUUGGACCUUUAUUGAUGACUGUGAACUUUAAAUUACAGCACCUCAAUUAUCGAAUAACUUUCAGACGGAGCCUUUUUAAUCGCGGAAACCUCAGGCGAUCAAACAAAGCUCUAGCGAGACCCAUUUGUCGCGCCGAACUCGAACCCGACUCAAGAAAAUCGACAAGGUGGUUUGGGGUGUUUUUCGGCUAAGCUCGCCAGCAGGCGGCGAAGAUGGAGAAGGGAGGUGGCUGCUGGUUUAUUUUUGAAAUGGGGAGGGUCUCCUCUGAUAUNNNNN